This 360-nucleotide ribosomal RNA is filed under the name uncultured eukaryote. RNAcentral's name for it is "partial 18S ribosomal RNA". It matches the Rfam family "Eukaryotic small subunit ribosomal RNA", at positions 592 to 976 of the family's 1831-position model. The record is from RNAcentral.
CAAUAGCAUAUAUUAACGUUGUUGCAGUUGAAAAGCUCGUAGUUGAACUUUUGGUUGGAGCGACCUGGCCUUGGGCGCAUGCCCUUGUUUGCCGUGUGUCGUAUCUGGCCAUCCUUUUCCGUUUCGGCGGGAAUCUUUUACUGUGAGUAAACUGGAGUGCUCAAAACAAGACGUUUGUUUGGUACAUUAAAGCAUGGAAUAAUAAGAUAGGACCUGGUUACUAUUUUGUUGGUUUGCAUAGCUAGGUAAUGAUUAACAGGGACAGUUGGGGGUAUUCGUAUUUAAUUGUCAGAGGUGAAAUUCUUGGAUUUAUGAAAGACGAACGACUGCGAAAGCAUUUACCAAGGAUGUUUUCAUUAA